This 253-nucleotide ribosomal RNA is filed under the name uncultured bacterium. Its description in RNAcentral is "partial 16S ribosomal RNA". It matches the Rfam family "Bacterial small subunit ribosomal RNA", at positions 524 to 776 of the family's 1533-position model. The record is from RNAcentral.
GACAGAGGGGGCAAGCGUUGCUCGGAAUCACUGGGCGUAAAGGGCGCGUAGGCGGGAUGGCAAGUCAGUCGUGAAAUCUCUCGGCUCAACCGAGAAACGUCGGCUGAUACUGCCGUUCUUGAGGGAUGCAGAGGAGACUGGAAUUCCCGGUGUAGCGGUGAAAUGUGUAGAGAUCGGGAGGAACGCCGGUGGCGAAGGCGGGUCUCUGGGCAUUUCCUGACGCUGAGGCGCGAAAGCGUGGGGAGCAAACGGG